GCGGCGUGCCUAAUACAUGCAAGUCGAACGCACUCUCGUUUAGAUUGAAGGAGUUUGCUCCUGAUUGAUAGACAUUUGAGUGAGUGGCGGACGGGUGAGUAACACGUGGGUAACCUGCCCUAAAGUGGGGGAUAACAUUUGGAAACAGAUGCUAAUACCGCAUAAAACCUAACACCGCAUGGUGUAGGGUUGAAAGAUGGUUUCGGCUAUCACUUUAGGAUGGACCCGCGGUGCAUUAGUUAGUUGGUGAGGUAAAGGCUCACCAAGACCGUGAUGCAUAGCCGACCUGAGAGGGUAAUCGGCCACACUGGGACUGAGACACGGCCCAGACUCCUACGGGAGGCAGCAGUAGGGAAUCUUCCACAAUGGACGAAAGUCUGAUGGAGCAACGCCGCGUGAGUGAAGAAGGUUUUCGGAUCGUAAAACUCUGUUGUUGGAGAAGAAUGUAUCUGAUAGUAACUGAUCAGGUAGUGACGGUAUCCAACCAGAAAGCCACGGCUAACUACGUGCCAGCAGCCGCGGUAAUACGUAGGUGGCAAGCGUUGUCCGGAUUUAUUGGGCGUAAAGCGAGCGCAGGCGGUUUCUUAAGUCUGAUGUGAAAGCCUUCGGCUCAACCGAAGAAGUGCAUCGGAAACUGGGAAACUUGAGUGCAGAAGAGGACAGUGGAACUCCAUGUGUAGCGGUGAAAUGCGUAGAUAUAUGGAAGAACACCAGUGGCGAAGGCGGCUGUCUGGUCUGUAACUGACGCUGAGGCUCGAAAGCAUGGGUAGCAAACAGGAUUAGAUACCCUGGUAGUCCAUGCCGUAAACGAUGAGUGCUAGGUGUUGGAGGGUUUCCGCCCUUCAGUGCCGCAGCUAACGCAUUAAGCACUCCGCCUGGGGAGUACGACCGCAAGGUUGAAACUCAAAGGAAUUGACGGGGGCCCGCACAAGCGGUGGAGCAUGUGGUUUAAUUCGAAGCAACGCGAAGAACCUUACCAGGUCUUGACAUCCUUUGACCACUCUAGAGAUAGAGCUUUCCCUUCGGGGACAAAGUGACAGGUGGUGCAUGGUUGUCGUCAGCUCGUGUCGUGAGAUGUUGGGUUAAGUCCCGCAACGAGCGCAACCCUUAUUACUAGUUGCCAGCAUUUAGUUGGGCACUCUAGUGAGACUGCCGGUGACAAACCGGAGGAAGGUGGGGACGACGUCAAAUCAUCAUGCCCCUUAUGACCUGGGCUACACACGUGCUACAAUGGAUGGUACAACGAGUUGCGAGACCGCGAGGUUUAGCUAAUCUCUUAAAACCAUUCUCAGUUCGGAUUGUAGGCUGCAACUCGCCUACAUGAAGCCGGAAUCGCUAGUAAUCGCGGAUCAGCAUGCCGCGGUGAAUACGUUCCCGGGUC
RNAcentral lists this ribosomal RNA (1381 nucleotides) under Latilactobacillus sakei. Its description in RNAcentral is "Lactobacillus sakei partial 16S ribosomal RNA". It matches the Rfam family "Bacterial small subunit ribosomal RNA", at positions 39 to 1380 of the family's 1533-position model. Lineage: Bacteria; Bacillati; Bacillota; Bacilli; Lactobacillales; Lactobacillaceae. The record is from RNAcentral.